GGACGCAAGUCUGAUGGAGCAACGCCGCGUGAGUGAAGAAGGGUUUCGGCUCGUAAAGCUCUGUUGGUAGUGAAGAAAGAUAGAGGUAGUAACUGGCCUUUAUUUGACGGUAAUUACUUAGAAAGUCACGGCUAACUACGUGCCAGCAGCCGCGGUAAUACGUAGGUGGCAAGCGUUGUCCGGAUUUAUUGGGCGUAAAGCGAGUGCAGGCGGUUCAAUAAGUCUGAUGUGAAAGCCUUCGGCUCAACCGGAGAAUUGCAUCAGAAACUGUUGAACUUGAGUGCAGAAGAGGAGAGUGGAACUCCAUGUGUAGCGGUGGAAUGCGUAGAUAUAUGGAAGAACACCAGUGGCGAAGGCGGCUCUCUGGUCUGCAACUGACGCUGAGGCUCGAAAGCAUGGGUAGCGAACAGGAUUAGAUACCCUGGUAGUCCAUGCCGUAAACGAUGAGUGCUAAGUGUUGGGAGGUUUCCGCCUCUCAGUGCUGCAGCUAACGCAUUAAGCACUCCGCCUGGGGAGUACGACCGCAAGGUUGAAACUCAAAGGAAUUGACGGGGGCCCGCACAAGCGGUGGAGCAUGUGGUUUAAUUCGAAGCAACGCGAAGAACCUUACCAGGUCUUGACAUCCAGUGC
RNAcentral lists this ribosomal RNA (630 nucleotides) under Lactobacillus gasseri. RNAcentral's name for it is "bacterial SSU rRNA". It matches the Rfam family "Bacterial small subunit ribosomal RNA", at positions 373 to 994 of the family's 1533-position model. The record is from RNAcentral. Lineage: Bacteria; Bacillati; Bacillota; Bacilli; Lactobacillales; Lactobacillaceae.